Molecule: ribosomal RNA, 436 nt
Filed under: uncultured bacterium
Lineage: Bacteria
Description: partial 16S ribosomal RNA
Rfam family: Bacterial small subunit ribosomal RNA
Source: RNAcentral
AACGAACGCUGGCGGCAUGCCUAACACAUGCAAGUCGAACGAUGGUCUUCGGAUCAUAGUGGCGCACGGGUGCGUAACGCGUGGGAAUCUGCCCUUGGGUUCGGAAUAACAGUUGGAAACGACUGCUAAUACCGGAUGAUGUCGAUAAGACCAAAGAUUUAUCGCCCGAGGAUGAGCCCGCGUCGGAUUAGCUAGUUGGUGGGGUAAAGGCCUACCAAGGCGACGAUCCGUAGCUGGUCUGAGAGGAUGAUCAGCCACACUGGGACUGAGACACGGCCCAGACUCCUACGGGAGGCAGCAGUGGGGAAUAUUGGACAAUGGGCGCAAGCCUGGUCCAGCAAUGCCGCGUGAGUGAUGAAGGCCUUAGGGUUGUAAAGCUCUUUUACCCGGGAAGAUAAUGACUGUACCGGGAGAAUAAGCCCCGGCUAACUCCGUG